AGAGUUUGAUCCUGGCUCAGGAUGAACGCUAGCGGCAGGCCUAAUACAUGCAAGUCGAACGAGAUUAAGAGGCUUGCUUCUUAUGAAAGUGGCGCACGGGUGCGUAACGCGUAUGCAACCUACCUUAAUCAGGGGGAUAGCCCGAAGAAAUCCGGAUUAAGACCGCAUAAAAACACAGGAUAGCAUUAUCCAAUGUUCAAAUAUUUAUAGGAUUAAGAUGGGCAUGCGUGUCAUUAGCUAGUUGGCGGGGUAACGGCCCACCAAGGCGACGAUGACUAGGGGAUCUGAGAGGAUGACCCCCCACACUGGUACUGAGACACGGACCAGACUCCUACGGGAGGCAGCAGUAAGGAAUAUUGGUCAAUGGAGGGAACUCUGAACCAGCCAUGCCGCGUGCAGGAAGACAGCCCUCUGGGUCGUAAACUGCUUUUAUUCGGGAAUAAACGUGCCAGCAGCCGCGGUAAUACGGAGGAUCCAAGCGUUAUCCGGAUUUAUUGGGUUUAAAGGGUGCGUAGGCGGCUUAUUAAGUCAGGGGUGAAAGACGGUGGCUCAACCAUCGCAGUGCCCUUGAUACUGAUGAGCUUGAAUACACUAGAGGUAGGCGGAAUGUGACAAGUAGCGGUGAAAUGCAUAGAUAUGUCACAGAACACCGAUUGCGAAGGCAGCUUACUAUGGUGUUAUUGACGCUGAGGCACGAAAGCGUGGGGAUCAAACAGGAUUAGAUACCCUGGUAGUCCACGCCCUAAACGAUGAAUACUCGCUGUUAGCGAUAUACAGUUAGCGGCUAAGCGAAAGCGUUAAGUAUUCCACCUGGGGAGUA
Molecule: ribosomal RNA, 820 nt
Filed under: uncultured bacterium
Lineage: Bacteria
Description: bacterial SSU rRNA
Rfam family: Bacterial small subunit ribosomal RNA
Source: RNAcentral